GAAAGUUGCAGUGUUUCCCUCUUGGACACUGCUGUAUUUCAAAUAAACCUGCAGGGGCACAGUGAGGAAACGGCAUUUACUGCUGGCACUUCAUCCUUUUCAGAAGGCUUUUACCAUCCUGCUGACUGACAAUGUAGAUCCCUAAUUAACAGUGAAGAACCAGUCCUGGGAGUCCCCCUGGCAACAUGCUUUGAGGGCACGGCGGUGGGAGGACCAAACCACUGACCAAAAGAAAGAGCCUAUCAUAAGUAGAAGAUCCUGUAUUUUCUUAUACUUCAAGAAGAUGAUAAACACUUGCCUAAUGCUUUAAAUUUACCAGGUGCUUUUAACAUGGAAGAUUUUUGUCAAAGGUGAAAUCUACUUGAACAAUUUAGAGAUCUUUUGGGGAUUUUCAAACUUUUUUAAAAGCGGUGAAUUCCCUAUAUAUGUAAAAGAGUUAAAAGUGAAAUACCUCCAUACCACACACUAUAUACAAAAAGUCAGUCAAAAUGGAUCAGAGUCCUAAACGUAAGCUAUGAAACUAUAAAACUCUUUGAGGAAAACAUACAAGUAAAUCUUCGUGACACGGGCUAAGCAGUGGAUUCUUAGAUAUGACACCAAAAGCACAAGCAAAAAAAGAAAAAAAAUAGAAAAAUUGGACUUCCUCAAAAUUAAAAAUUUUUGUGCUUCAGAGGACAACAUCAGCGUGAAAAGACAACCCACAUGAUGGGAGAAAAUACUUGCAAAUCAUAUCUGCGAUAAGGGACCUGUCUGUAGAAUAUAUCAAGAACUCUUACAACUCAAUAAGACAUAUAACCUAAUGAAAAAUGGGCAAAGCAUCUGAACAGACAUCUGUCCAAAGAUGAUAUACAGUGGCCAAUAAUCCAAUAAUAAGGACACGACAAAAUACUCAUUAGUUACUAGGAAAAAAUAAAGCUGUUAUUUAAAAAAUAACAAGUGAAAUAAAUAGUCUCCUGCUUUGGGGGAGUCAAAGUCACACUCAGAAGCACCUCACUGAAAUGGAGAAAACAGACCCAUCUCUUUCAGCACCCCAGUCUUUAAAUCAGGCAUAAUGGUUCUUCUGGUUUGCCAAAGCAAGGAAUUCUAAAUUCCUUUUUUUUCUCCCUUCAAAUAAAUGGUUUUUAAGUGAGAGCAUCCAUUAAGACCGGGUUGCCAAAGACUCAGCCUUUAUAAAUUAUAGAUUUUGAAAUAAGAGGUUUUUAAGCAGGCGAGUAUAAAGCAAAGCAACGCAAAGGGUAAGGGAAGUGGUCCCGUAAGGCAUGGGCAGCUCCUCUCGUAGCUCCCGGAGCACUUCAACAAGAAAUGGUUCGGCGAAGCCCAUCUGAUAGAAAUCAAAACAGAAUGAGCCCUUCAAAAUUGCCAGCUACUCAAAGGACUGACUCAUUUCCUGACUUGGCAGCCACUGUCUGAUGAGUCAGCCUGACUGAAUGUGCCCUGACCAGGUUCUACAGCUAUAAUCAAUCUUUACGACACAAAAGCUUGUAUUUCAAUAAGGCAGGAAGUGUCAUAGGUAAUGUUUCAGGUGGCAAAGGUGACAGAAGGUUCAUUAGGGAUAAAGAUGGGAAAAAACCCAGCUCAAGUGAGGAGCCAAUGAAUAGAAAACACUUCUGAGACUGCAAUCAGGAGACGGCGUCCCUGAUAGACACAACUUCUCAGGCUUCCUGCAGAGCCCAGGACUUCGAGCACCGACUCUGUCACCUAUACAUUGUGACCCCAGUCACCUCAUCCAUAAAGUGACCCACAAGGUCAGUUACAGGUCUAAACUGUGAUGUACUUUACAUAAUGAUCUCUGCUCAUCUACCAGGUGAGGCAAAAGCUAUGCUUCACACCUUUAAAAGGUUGGUUUUUUUUCCUAAAACUAUUCCUUUAUAUGACAGUGGAACAGUGGGGAAAAAAGUCACGUUGUAUUUUACCACAAAUUGCCAUUUUCCAUCGGGUCACUGGGCAGAAUUCGCACUGAAGCUGUCUUCCCGCGUACCACCGUCCAUUAAACAGAGAAAGGGCUGCUUGGCAUUCUUCUUCCCUUGAAACCACAAAUUAAAGGAUGCACUUUAGAGUAACUUUCUAAUAUGCAGAUUAACCCUAUUGUUAAUUAACCCUUGUAUUUGUUUAGUGUAGGACCACCUAGUUCACUGCUUUUGUGCUACCUAGGGAGUCCUUAUUACAGCAUUCAAGGUCCUUGAAGCUCACCUCAUUCAGGAACCAUUUUGUUUUUUAGUUUUUUUUAACCAACCCUCCCAGAGGUUUUGAUGCAAGGAAAUCUACUUGAGUCAAAGCUUCUUAAACCAAAAGAUUGGACCAUUAAAAAUGCAGAAGUGUU
This is a non-coding RNA of Delphinapterus leucas (beluga whale), 2320 nucleotides long. The record is from RefSeq and is a predicted model, not a curated record. Lineage: Eukaryota; Metazoa; Chordata; Mammalia; Artiodactyla; Monodontidae.